RNAcentral lists this ribosomal RNA (254 nucleotides) under uncultured bacterium. RNAcentral's name for it is "partial 16S ribosomal RNA". It matches the Rfam family "Bacterial small subunit ribosomal RNA", at positions 524 to 776 of the family's 1533-position model. The record is from RNAcentral.
UACAGGGGGUGCAAACGUUGCUCGGAUUCACUGGGCGUAAAGGGUGCGUAGGCGGUCGGGUAAGUCUGAUGUGAAAUCUCACAGCUUAACUGUGAAACUGCAUUGGAUACUAUUCGGCUUGAGAGUUGGAGGGGGGACUGGAAUUCUUGGUGUAGCAGUGGAAAUGCGUAGAUAUCAAGAGGAACACCAGUGGCGAAGGCGGCUCUCUGGUACGUGACUGACGCUGAGACGCGAAAGCGUGGGGAGCAAACAGG